Molecule: unclassified non-coding RNA, 318 nt
Filed under: plant metagenome
Description: partial contains 5.8S ribosomal RNA, internal transcribed spacer 2, and large subunit ribosomal RNA
Rfam family: 5.8S ribosomal RNA (bases 1-105)
Source: RNAcentral
GAAAUGCGAUAAGUAAUGUGAAUUGCAGAAUUCAGUGAAUCAUCGAAUCUUUGAACGCACAUUGCGCCCACCAGAAUUCUGGCGGGCAUGCCUGUUCGAGCGUCAUUUCAACCCUCGAGCUCCCCUUGCGGGGGGAGCCCGGCGUUGGGGACGCGGCGCCAACAGCGCCGGCCCCGAAAUGGAGUGGCGGCCCGUCCGCGGCGACCUCUGCGUAGUAACAUCCACUCGCACCGGGACCCGGGCGCGGCCACGCCGUAAAACACCCCACCUUCCGAAUGUUGACCUCGAAUCAGGUAGGAAUACCCGCUGAACUUAAGC